UACGUAGGAUCCAAGCGUUAUCCGGGAUUACUGGGCGUAAAGCGUACGUAGGUGGAGACUUACGUGAGAUGCGAAAUCUAGCGGCUCAACCGUUUAGACUGUGUCUCAUACUGGGUUUCUUGAGGUUGGCAGAGGCAAGUGGAAUUUCCGGUGUAGCAGUGAAAUGCGUAGAUAUCGGAAGGAACACCAAGGGCGAAGGCAGCUUGCUGGGCCACACCUGACACUGAGGUACGAAAGCGUGGGGAGCGCACGGG
Molecule: ribosomal RNA, 254 nt
Filed under: uncultured bacterium
Lineage: Bacteria
Description: partial 16S ribosomal RNA
Rfam family: Bacterial small subunit ribosomal RNA
Source: RNAcentral